Molecule: long non-coding RNA, 679 nt
Organism: Eriocheir sinensis (Chinese mitten crab)
Lineage: Eukaryota; Metazoa; Arthropoda; Malacostraca; Decapoda; Varunidae
Exons: 3
Source: RefSeq, a predicted model, not a curated record
UAUGAAGUAACACAAGAAGAAGGAAGUUGAAAGAGUAACACAAGAAGAAGGAAUUUGAAAAGAGUAACACAAGAAGAGGGAAUUUGAAAAGAGGAACACAGAAGAAGGUAUUGAAAAGAGUAACACAGAAGAAUGUAUUGAAAAGAGUAACACAGAAGAAGGUAUUGAAAAGAGUUACACAGAAGAAGGUAUUGAAAAGAGUUACACAGAAGAAGGUAUUGAAAAGAGUAACACAGAAGAAGGUAUUGAAAAGAGUUACACAGAAGAAGGAAUUUGAAAAGAGUAACACAGAAGAAGGUAUUGAAAAGAGUAACACAGAAGAAGGUAUUGAAAAGAGUUACACAGAAGAAGGUAUUGAAAAGAGUAACACAGAAGAAGGUAUUGAAAAGAGUUACACAGAAGAAGGUAUUGAAAAGAGUAACACAGAAGAAGGUAUUGAAAAGAGUAACACAGAAGAAGGUAUUGAAAAGAGUUACACAGAAGAAGGUAUUGAAAAGAGUUACACAGAAGAAGGAAUUUGAAAAGAGUAACACAAGAAGAAGGAAUUUGAAGAGAAAUAACACAAGAAGAAGAAAUGUGAAGUAACACCAGAAGGAAAAUGCAGAGAAGUAACACUAGAAAAAUGAAAAUGGAAAUGAAAAGAAUCAUCCACCUUUCGGCCCAAACCAACAUCACAAAA